GGCGCCUGUAAUUCAGGGGUUGUCGUUUGUGUAUGUGAUACAAUUUUUUUUUCGUUAAUUUUUCUAUAAAUUAGGCUGUUAGUUUUCUCGUUUGAAUUGUUUUACAUUGUCAUAUUGGGGCCUUUUAUAGCCGACUAUGCGGUAUGGGCUUUGCUCAUUGUUGAAGGCCGUACGUUGACCUAUAGUUGUUAAUGUCUGUGUUAUUUUGGUUUUUUGUGGACAGAGGUCUCAUUGGCCAUCAUACCACAUUUUUUUUUAUAUUUUACAGAAGCUUCUGACAAUCAAAAGAUAGUAUCGAGAGGAAUUUUUUUAUUGAUUUUUUUUCGUCAUUUUUGUUAACAGCAAAAGUAGGCGAGACACUGGGUUCCGCAUCUUUGUUAGCUAAGGGUUACGAUCCAUUCCCGUUCUCUCCACGGUGCCGACGUGGAGAAAACGGGAGUGGAUCGUAAUCCUUGGCAAGCGAAGAUGUGGGUUCCGCAGAACCCUUACAAAUUUUCAACCCUGAAAUUCGAC
Molecule: long non-coding RNA, 513 nt
Filed under: Mytilus galloprovincialis (Mediterranean mussel)
Lineage: Eukaryota; Metazoa; Mollusca; Bivalvia; Mytilida; Mytilidae
Source: RNAcentral